AAGGAAUAUUGGACAAUGGUCGCAAGACUGAUCCAGCCAUGCCGCGUGCAGGAAGACGGCCCUAUGGGUUGUAAACUUCUUUUAGACGGGACAAAACCCCUUUACGUGUAAAGGGUUGAUGGUACUGUCAGAAUAAGCAUCGGCUAACUUCGUGCCAGCAGCCGCGGUAAUACGAAGGAUGCAAGCGUUAUCCGGAAUUAUUGGGUUUAAAGGGUGCGUAGGCGGACUAAUAAGUCAGUGGUGAAAGCCUGCAGCUUAACUGCAGAAUUGCCAUUGAUACUGUUAGUCUUGAGUACAGUUGAGGUAGGCGGAAUGUGUCAUGUAGCGGUGAAAUGCUUAGAUAUGACACAGAACACCGAUUGCGAAGGCAGCUUGCUAAGCUGUAACUGACGCUGAGGCACGAAAGCGUGGGGAGCAAACA
Molecule: ribosomal RNA, 421 nt
Filed under: uncultured bacterium
Lineage: Bacteria
Description: bacterial SSU rRNA
Rfam family: Bacterial small subunit ribosomal RNA
Source: RNAcentral